RNAcentral lists this ribosomal RNA (527 nucleotides) under Prymnesium parvum. Its description in RNAcentral is "partial Bacterial large subunit ribosomal RNA". It matches the Rfam family "Bacterial large subunit ribosomal RNA", at positions 1260 to 1893 of the family's 2925-position model. Lineage: Eukaryota; Haptophyta; Prymnesiales; Prymnesiaceae. The record is from RNAcentral.
AGGGUAACCGACGGUGGACAUAUCGGAAGUGCGAAUGCUGACAUGAGUAGCGAUAAAGAGGGUGAGAUACCCUCUCGCCGAAAGACCAAGGGUUCCUGCGUAAAGCUAAUCUGCGCAGGGUAAGCCGGCCCCUAAGCCGAGGACGAAAGUCGUAGGCGAUGGGAACCAGGUUAAUAUUCCUGGGCCUUCUGGAAGUGACGAAUGGCGUAAAUCGUGUGGGCUUAUCGGAUUGUCCAUGCGGUGGUGCUGUUCCAGGAAAUAGCUCCAGUUGUAGACCGUACCCUAAACCGACACAGGUGGGAUGGUAGAGUAUACCAAGGCGCUUGAGAGAACUGCGUUGAAGGAACUCGGCAAAAUACUCCCGUAAGUUCGCGAGAAGGGAGACCUCCGUUUGGGCAACCAGGCGGGGGUGGCACAGAAAUGGGGGUGGCGACUGUUUACUAAAAACACAGGGCUCUGCGAAGCCGCAAGGCGACGUAUAGGGUCUGACGCCUGCCCGGUGCCGGAAGGUUAAAAGGAGAUGUGAG